RNAcentral lists this ribosomal RNA (433 nucleotides) under uncultured bacterium. Its description in RNAcentral is "partial 16S ribosomal RNA". It matches the Rfam family "Bacterial small subunit ribosomal RNA", at positions 29 to 507 of the family's 1533-position model. The record is from RNAcentral.
GCGCACGCUGGCGGCAGGCCUAACACCUGCAAGUCGAACGCACCUUUCGGGGUUAGUGGCGGACGGGUGAGUAACACGUGGGAACGUGCCUUUAGGUUCGGAAUAACUCAGGGAAACUUGUGCUAAUACCGAAUGUGCCCUUCGGGGGAAAGAUUUAUCGCCUUUAGAGCGGCCCGCGUCUGAUUAGCUAGUUGGUUGAGGUAAUGGCUCACCAAGGCGACGAUCAGUAGCUGGUCUGAGAGGAUGAUCAGCCACAUUGGGACUGAGACACGGCCCAAACUCCUACGGGAGGCAGCAGUGGGGAAUCUUGCGCAAUGGGCGAAAGCCUGACGCAGCCAUGCCGCGUGAAUGAUGAAGGUCUUAGGAUUGUAAAAUUCUUUCACCGGGGACGAUAAUGACGGUACCCGGAGAAGAAGCCCCGGCUAACUUCGUG